RNAcentral lists this transfer RNA (72 nucleotides) under Camelus ferus (Wild Bactrian camel). It matches the Rfam family "tRNA". Rfam says of the family: Transfer RNA (tRNA) molecules are approximately 80 nucleotides in length. Their secondary structure includes four short double-helical elements and three loops (D, anti-codon, and T loops). Further hydrogen bonds mediate the characteristic L-shaped molecular structure. tRNAs have two regions of fundamental functional importance: the anti-codon, which is responsible for specific mRNA codon recognition, and the 3' end, to which the tRNAs corresponding amino acid is attached (by aminoacyl-tRNA synthetases). tRNAs cope with the degeneracy of the genetic code in two manners: having more than one tRNA (with a specific anti-codon) for a particular amino acid; and 'wobble' base-pairing, i.e. permitting non-standard base-pairing at the 3rd anti-codon position. Lineage: Eukaryota; Metazoa; Chordata; Mammalia; Artiodactyla; Camelidae. The record is from Rfam by way of RNAcentral.
GAGAGUAUAAUUCAGUGGUAGUGUGCGUGCUUAGCGUGCACAAGGUCCUGGGUUCAAUCCCCAGUACCCCCA